CCUACGGGAGGCAGCAGUGGGGAAUAUUGGACAAUGGGCGCAAGCCUGAUCCAGCAAUGCCGCGUGAGUGAUGAAGGCCUUCGGGUUGUAAAGCUCUUUCGCGCGCGACGAUGAUGACGGUAGCGUGAGAAGAAGCCCCGGCUAACUUCGUGCCAGCAGCCGCGGUAAUACGAAGGGGGCGAGCGUUGUUCGGAAUUACUGGGCGUAAAGGGCGCGUAGGCGGUGUGUCAAGUCAGGCGUGAAAGCCCCGGGCUCAACCUGGGAACGGCGCUUGAGACUGGCACGCUCGAGUUCGGGAGAGGAUGGUGGAAUUCCCAGUGUAGAGGUGAAAUUCGUAGAUAUUGGGAAGAACACCGAUGGCGAAGGCAGCCAUCUGGACCGACACUGACGCUGAGGCGCGAAAGCGUGGGGAGCAAACAGGAUUAGAUACCCUGGUAGUCCACGCCGUAAACGAUGAGUGCUAGACGUUGGGGUCCUUAGGACUUCGGUGUCGCAGCUAACGCAUUAAGCACUCCGCCUGGGGAGUACGGCCGCAAGGUUAAAACUCAAAGGAAUUGACGG
RNAcentral lists this ribosomal RNA (561 nucleotides) under uncultured bacterium. RNAcentral's name for it is "bacterial SSU rRNA". It matches the Rfam family "Bacterial small subunit ribosomal RNA", at positions 338 to 916 of the family's 1533-position model. The record is from RNAcentral.